AGCUGGGUUAACUUAGUCGGUACAGUAUGAGAUUCUUAAUCUCAAGGUCGUGGGUUCGAGUCCUACUUGGGUAA
This is a non-coding RNA of Podarcis lilfordi (Lilford's wall lizard), 74 nucleotides long. The record is from the annotation of a GenBank genome assembly. NCBI's taxonomy places the organism in Eukaryota, Metazoa, Chordata, Lepidosauria, Squamata, Lacertidae.